UGGGGAAUAUUGGACAAUGGACCAAAAGUCUGAUCCAGCAAUUCUGUGUGCACGAUGACGUUUUUCGGAAUGUAAAGUGCUUUCAGUUGGGAAGAAAAAAAUGACGGUACCAACAGAAGAAGUGACGGCUAAAUACGUGCCAGCAGCCGCGGUAAUACGUAUGUCACAAGCGUUAUCCGGAUUUAUUGGGCGUAAAGCGCGUCCAGGUGGUUAUGUAAGUCUGAUGUGAAAAUGCAGGGCUCAACUCUGUAUUGCGUUGGAAACUGCAUGACUAGAGUACUGGAGAGGUAAGCGGAACUACAAGUGUAGAGGUGAAAUUCGUAGAUAUUUGUAGGAAUGCCGAUGGGGAAGCCAGCUUACUGGACAGAUACUGACGCUAAAGCGCGAAAGCGUGGGUAGCAAACAGGAUUAGAUACCCUGGUAGUCCACGCCGUAAACGAUGAUUACUAGGUGUUGGGGGUCGAACCUCAGCGCCCAAGCUAACGCGAUAAGUAAUCCGCCUGGGGAGUACGUACGCAAGUAUG
RNAcentral lists this ribosomal RNA (524 nucleotides) under uncultured bacterium. Its description in RNAcentral is "bacterial SSU rRNA". It matches the Rfam family "Bacterial small subunit ribosomal RNA", at positions 355 to 896 of the family's 1533-position model. The record is from RNAcentral.